This 1926-nucleotide unclassified non-coding RNA is filed under the name uncultured fungus. RNAcentral describes it as "sequence contains 18S rRNA gene, ITS1, 5.8S rRNA gene, ITS2, 28S rRNA gene". The stretch from base 816 to 1926 matches the Rfam family "Eukaryotic large subunit ribosomal RNA", at positions 1 to 961 of the family's 3401-position model. Lineage: Eukaryota; Fungi. The record is from RNAcentral.
GGAAGGAUCAUUAACACGUUAUCCAACGUAACUACCAACUGCGCACCCCUUUUCAUUCUCUCCCGUGUACCUACUAUAAUCGGAAGUGUGCUCUCUGACCGUUGAUUAGGGAGCGUCUUCGGACGCUCCAGUCAGACCCGACUCAUCUGCUCGCAAGAGCUAACGAUAAAAGUAGGCCGCGGCUAAGCUGCGUUUGCUGUAGAUCUCCAUUCAAGAUCAUGAGCAGCGUGGCACUAUUAUUAACCAUUUUCACCCCUUUUUUGCUAGUUGACUUUUCAUCUGUUGAGCUCUCUCUUUAUUGAGAGGUUCGGCACGUUUGAUCUUUAAUUGAACGUUAAAAAAUACAACUCUUAGCAAUGGAUAUCUAGGUUCUCGCAACGAUGAAGAACGCAGCGAAAUGCGAUACGUAAUGCGAAUUGCAGAAUUCAGUGAAUCAUCAAAUCUUUGAACGCAAAUGGCGCUCUUGGGUAGCCCUAGGAGCACACCUCUCUCAGUAUCGGUUCAACAACCGCUCAGCAGCGUGCUUGGUAAAACAAACGCGUGUGGCUGGAAAAUGAGAGUCUGAGUGCUUGUCGCUCAGUCUCUUGAAAUGCAUCGAGUGCGCAUAUGAUUCGUCAGUCCAUGAUACCCUCGGGUGUCUAGGCAGUGUCGGACGGUUGCUCACAAGUGACGUGAAUACUGGCCUCCGGGUCUUCCUUUUACGUGUGUCUUGCGAGUAAUAUUUAAACGUCUGGGAUAGCUGAAGGAUUGAACCAACGAAUGAAAUGCGUACGACACAAUAACCAUAUGAUUCGAAGCAAUUCGAGUCUGAUUAUUGAUCUGAGAUGAAGUGAGACAACCCCCUGAAUUUAAGCAUAUUAAUAAGGGGAGGAAAAGAAACUAACAAGGAUUCCCUUAGUAACGGCGAGUGAAGCGGGAAGAGCUCAAUUUGAAAAUCGAUAACCCAAACGGGUCAUCGAGUUGUAGCCUAUAGACGUACUAUCAGCUGGAACCUGGGUAUAAGUUCUUUGGAAUGAGGCAUCAUAGAGGGUGAGAAUCCCGUAGAUGACCCAAAGCUUUCAGCGUACGAUGUAUGUUCAUCGAGUCGAGUUGUUUGGGAUUGCAGCUCUAAAUGGGUGGUAAGUAUCAUCUAAAGCUAAAUAUUGGCGAGAGACCGAUAGCGAACAAGUACCGUGAGGGAAAGAUGAAAAGAACUUUGAAAAGAGAGUUAAAAGUACUUGAAAUUGCUAAGAGGGAAGCGCUGAAAACCAGUGAUAUGCCGUCUCAAACGCCUAUCGCUCUUGUGAGUUGUGUACGUAGUUGGUAACUCUGCGUGCGCAACUGAUAGGGCGGCGGUGGGUUUCCUGAGGCGGUGUCAGUCAAGAUCCAUUCGGCUGUGGGUGAGAAGGUGGGCGGAAAGGUAGGAGGUUCGCCUCUGUUAAGUCCGCUCACUCUAGCCUGCGCUGGAUGGAGGAAGCAAUGGUGCGCCGCUUGCGGCUUGGCGCGGCGUCUCUGCGGCCUCAUCUGUCGUUCCGAGCAAUGCUCUGGCGGCGGAGAAGGGUCGUACUGGGCGUCGCUGUCCGAUGUGCCAUCACGAUCUUGUACGAAAUGGUUUUCAUCGACCCGUCUUGAAACACGGACCAAGGAGUCUAACAUCUAUGCGAGUAUUUGGGUGCAAAACCCUGAUGCGGAAUGAAAGUAAAGGCAGUCUUGUGCUGCUGAGGUAGGAAUCCGGCAACGGAGGCACUAUCGACCGAUCAUCACUUGUGAAAGAUUUGAGUAAGAGCAUAUCUGUUGGGACCCGAAAGAUGGUGAUCUAUGCCUGAACAGGGUGAAGCCAGGGGAAACUCUGGUGGAGGCUCGUAGCGAUACUGACGUGCAAAUCGUUCGUCUGAUUUGGGUAUAGGGGCGAAAGACUAAUCGAACCAUCUAGUAGCUGGUUCCCUC